GGCCAAGUUAUUAAGGGCGCACGGUGGAUGCCUUGGCACCAGGAGCCGAUGAAGGACGUGGGAGGCUGCGAUAUGCC
Molecule: ribosomal RNA, 77 nt
Filed under: uncultured Frankia sp.
Lineage: Bacteria; Bacillati; Actinomycetota; Actinomycetes; Frankiales; Frankiaceae
Description: partial 23S ribosomal RNA
Rfam family: Bacterial large subunit ribosomal RNA
Source: RNAcentral